Peromyscus californicus insignis is the source of this 1723-nucleotide long non-coding RNA. RefSeq lists it as uncharacterized. The record is from RefSeq and is a predicted model, not a curated record. The transcript is spliced from 2 exons. Lineage: Eukaryota; Metazoa; Chordata; Mammalia; Rodentia; Cricetidae.
UGAGACCCAGUGGUGCAUACCUGCACAGUGUUUCCAAGGCCCUGGGUGGGACUGCAGCAGCAUAAGGCAAACAAAGACACCACUGGGCAUGUGUUGGUAGCUCUUGGCAAGCAUUUGUAAAGCCCUGCCUGAACUUAGUCCUCAGCUCCAAGAAAAGGAAAGACAAACAGCUAUGCAAACUAAAAUGUUCACCAAACUUUAGAAAAUGGCACCAAGUACUAAUGAACAUGAUCAGUAAGAAAAGCUGAAAACACCACUUCCCCGAAAUAUACCUGCACAAUGGUACACCCCUGUAAUCCCAGCAUUCAGGAGGAGAGCCUGGGCUACGUAGACUAUCAGACUAUCACAAAAUAACCACUGACUGCACAUGUAAAAGUGCUGGACACAGGGCAGCCUGGCUAUCUAAUAGCUCUCACAGUGAAAACCUGUCUCAAGCAAAGACAACUCUCCAAUCCAAAAUAAUAAAGUUUAAGGAGUGCAAAAAUUUUUAGAAAAACAUGGCAUAUUUUUAGGAAAUUAAUGGGUCGUUUUACCAGCACAAUGUUUAUAAGCACAUUUUGUUUCACAAUAUUGGUAACAGCCAGAAAAGAAAUUGGAGCUUGGGGAAAUCUGAAAAUAAAACACCACCAUUUCUUAACUAUGGAAACUUCUAAGGUUUGAGUGCAGAGCACCUUUGUUGUUCUGAAACAUAGCUCAGGCUGGCCUCAGAAUCAGCCCUUGCCUCUUGUCCCGAGUGCUGGAAUUCCAGAUCUAUGUCACCAUGGCUGGCUUGAUUACAAAGCAUUUCUAACUACUAGUCCCAUUGUCAGCUGAAGUGCCAGGCAGUGUAGAGAUUGCCAGAUGUUCAAACUUGGUCUUCCAUUGCGAUUUUCUGAGGAACAUGAACAAUAUAUCCACCCCAGUGGAGAAACUACACAAAGGGAAGAUGCUGUUAGCAUCUGGUUAUUUCUGGGAGGAAGGAAGAGAGGUCUACACCCGCAGCCCAGCGCUGCCUGCCAGUGUGAGGCAGGACCAGAGUGCUCCAUGUGGAGAGCAAGAGAAGAGACUGUCGGGUAGCUCCGGGGUACAGCCUUCACUGGAGUGGAGGGCAAGAACUGGCGAUCGAGUGUGUAUUCUACUUAAGAACAGAAAACCAAAGAGGUGACAAUUCUAGGAAACCAGGCAUUAGAGUUGUCAAGUCAAUGAAAAUAAAAGCCAUGAGUGACACACAUUACUAAGGAACUGAACCUCCUUAAGAAAUGAUGCUUUUAGGUCUGGCAGUGGCAGUGGCCACAGGCUGAUCUCCAAGUUCGAGGCCAGCCUGGUCUACAAGGUGAGUUCCACAACAGCCAGAGCUGUUACACAGAGAAACCCUGUCCUAAAAAUACAAAAUAAAUCAGAACGAAAAGAAAAAAAAAAGGUGCUUUUAAUCAGUGGAUGCAACCAGAUCACAGCAAAAGCAAAUGGUUUCCAACAAGUCUCUAAAGAAAUGUGGGCUUGGCUUGUGUGUUCAUAGCUGUUGUGUGAAGGCUGGGGUAUAGCUCAGGGGCAGAGUAUGUCUAUCAUGUGUGAAGCCCAGGGUUCAACACCCAGAACUGCCAAAAAUGUGUUAUAUGUGUAAAUGUGCUUUUAAGAUUUACUGAGAAAUAAUCUACCUACUACUAUACAGUCCACUCAUGGUAUGUAAUUCAAUACAUAAAUCAAAAAUAUAAUUAUCGUCAAUAAAAUUGGAGAAAAAACUUAA